Molecule: long non-coding RNA, 2014 nt
Organism: Nannospalax galili (Upper Galilee mountains blind mole rat)
Lineage: Eukaryota; Metazoa; Chordata; Mammalia; Rodentia; Spalacidae
Exons: 4
Source: RefSeq, a predicted model, not a curated record
UUGCCCUGGGGGAACUGCUUGGCAUCAAUUUUCUUUUGCUAACAAGUUUGCAAAUUGUGAGAAACCCAAAAUGACUGCAAAUGUCAUGCUGUUCAUCCCCUGCAGAGCUUGAAUAUACCUCCCAUUUGUAGGUUCUGGGCUGGACUUGUAAUUUGUUUGGACCAAUGAAACAUAAAGUUAGUUAUGGUUUAAAAGGAUAAGCCCACAAAACCUUGGUUCAUCUGGUCUUUACCUUUGAGAACCCAAAUUCUGUAUGAAGAAGUUCUCGCUGAUCUUGUUGAGGAUAAACAGUGCGUACAGAAAGAAGCGCAGAACAAGCCAGCCACAGCCUGCAGGCAGCUUUCCUUUCAAUUACCCUGAAUGGAAUCGACUUUCAGACCAACCUUUAAAAUGCUGCUGUGAGGGCAGAGACAACAGAAUGCGGGAACUUUCCUGGGCACUGCAGUCAGUGCUGGUGAGAAGAUAUUCCUGAAGAAGGUACUGCAGCUGGAAUGAAGAGUUUGCAGGCAAAUCACAACAGGACACACAUUCCCCAGAGUCAAUGCAUGAGGGCCGAGUCAAUGCAGCUGAAGAUGGUCGACUCUGAUCUGAUGAAGAAGGUGUUUUCUACCAGUGACAUUCAAGCCUCAGCGUCUUUGAGAGUUCCUCCUCUAAAGAUGGUGGCCAAAGGUUCAGCUGCUGAGUGAAUUAAGCAGUAGUCACAGGACAAGCUUGAAACAACUAUGGCCUAAUCUACUCUAGCCUCUGUGGCACUGCACAGAUCCGAAUGCGAGGGGCAUAAGACAAGAGUUCUGCGUGUUCCGUCCACUGCAUCUUCAGCCUCUCAGAAAGUGACCCCCACACAGCAGGGAAUCACGGAUGAAUGCCGGGCAGGAAAAUCCGGCCCUGUAGAGACAAGUCCUCUGGCUUCCAAGUAGCCAACUUGAUGAGUGUAGAGAAAAGUGCCCUGUGCCUCUUGGCAUGUGUAGGCUUGAACUGAGCCUCUGAUUUUUUUAAACCUAUUUCCCCAAAGAGACGCUUUGGAGUGUCUGAGCUCCAAUAGAUUUAGAAUAUUGCCACAGUAAGAAUGUGUACCAAUAGCACUGAAAAUAAUUGUGCCUCCUCCACGCGCAGUUCCUAGUCACUGCCUGUCCUAAUUUCAAGUCCCCGGCAAAAUAAUGUAACAGUAAAAUCAAAUGUAUAAAUGCAGAAACAUUUACGAUUGGCUCAAAGAAAGUGGCUUGAAGGUCGCAAGAGGGCUUCUUUCCUGGGGAGAUUGUUACGUGUUAGAUAUUUGAUUCCUGUAAAUUCUUCAUGAAUAUGCACAUGUCUACCUCAGAGCAUGAAAAACAUGUGCAGUGUGAGAAUUCUAGACAGCAGAGGGUCUGAACGUGCUCCUGCUGAUUGCUUUAAAAAUUAUAGGAGGAUUUCAGCCAUAUCUAUAUGCAAACUUCGAGCAUUCCCUCAGCAGGCUUCGCUGUCAUGGCAUCAGUCCCACAUGUGCCAGGUGAGGGAUUCAACCAAAUAUGGCCACUUUGUUUGAAUGCCUGUGAUGGGGAACCCGUAGCGUGUGGAGGAGACAGACAGAGGACAGAAACAUGUGCACAAUUGCAUCAUUGGUUAUGAACUCUUCAUGUCCAUUGAGGAGUUCUCUGAAAGAUGCAUGCUCAGUUACAACCUUUACUGUGUAUUAACCAUAGGCCACACACACUCCAGCCACUUCACACUAGCGCUUAAGUAAGUAAUGUGCUAGGGCCAGGGGACAGCCUUCACAGACGUGUAAAAGUCAAACUUUUGUGUGCACUGAGAAUUCUCUUCUGAGGCUCUGCCACCACCUUCGAGGCCUGUGGCUCUUUGAUUUUUUCUUUCUGUUAUUGAAGCUUUGCAGAUAUCACACAGUAUAUUUUGAUUGUAUUUAGAUCCUCUACCCUAUCUGCGCUCUCCCUUUAUAUAUAUCAGGACCUGGAGUCUAAUUUGUGUCCCUAAACACACUUUGGUGUGGAUUCAUCCACUGGAGCCUGGUCAACCUACCCAC